Molecule: ribosomal RNA, 468 nt
Filed under: uncultured bacterium
Lineage: Bacteria
Description: partial 16S ribosomal RNA
Rfam family: Bacterial small subunit ribosomal RNA
Source: RNAcentral
GACGAACGCUGGCGGCGUGCUUAACACAUGCAAGUCGAACGGCAAGGCCCUGCUUUUGUGGGGUGCUCGAGUGGCGAACGGGUGAGUAACACGUGAGUAACCUGCCCUUGACUUUGGGAUAACUUCAGGAAACUGGGGCUAAUACCGGAUAGGAUCUCCUGCUGCAUGGUGGGGGUUGGAAAGUUUCGGCGGUUGGGGAUGGACUCGCGGCUUAUCAGCUUGUUGGUGGGGUAGUGGCUUACCAAGGCUUUGACGGGUAGCCGGCCUGGGAGGGUGACCGGCGACAUUGGGACUGAGAGACGGACCAGACGGCUACGGGAGGCAGAAGGGGGGAAUAUUGCACAAUGGGCGGAAGCCUGAUGCAGAAACGCCGCGUGUGUGAUGACGGUCUGUGGGGAGAAAACCGCUUUCGCCUGUGACGAAGCGGGAGUGACGGUAAUGGGUAAAGAAGCACCGGCUAACUACGUG